RNAcentral lists this long non-coding RNA (630 nucleotides) under Olea europaea subsp. europaea. Lineage: Eukaryota; Viridiplantae; Streptophyta; Magnoliopsida; Lamiales; Oleaceae. The record is from RNAcentral.
UAAUGUUGAAAUUAAACACGUAAGAGAGCAAUGACAUCACCAAUAAUUUGACGGAGCGUGAUUUAACUCCACAAUUUUUCUCAGCUCUACGUGUGUAUAUACAUCAACUCCAGCCGGCUUCUUCUAAAAAAGAAUUCAAUUCUUCUCUCCCAAAAGCUACGUCUUUUCUAUGUAUAUGACUUCCUCCCGACUGCCUUUUUGUCUAUAUAUAAUAAUAAAGCCCAGCAGCGGCUGGCAAUUGUGUAUUAAUUUAGCAGCAGGCCACGCAAUUGUAUGUGUGUUAUUAAAUUCCAGCAGCCCUUUUUUCGUGUGUUCCCUUCUGCCACUAUUUCAGUGUGUGUAUAUUAUUAGUGCAGCUUCUAUUGUAUGCGUAUCUCCUCCACCUCCUUUUUUCCAGCUGCCGUGUGAUGUGUGUGUGUGUGUGUGUGUGUGUAUAUAUCUCCCCAGCCAACACAGCCCUUUUGUAUAUAUAUAACCUCAAGCUGCCUUUUUGAGUCCAACAAGGAAACCGACUCCAUUUUCAAUUCAAUUCCCUUUUUUUUUCUUCCCAAUUGCCGUCUAUGUAAGUGUGAAUUUUUGUGGGUAAAAGAAUCCAAGUUAGCCACCAACUUCUCUCUUUUUUCUUUUUUC